CACCCCUCUCUCGGAGGAUGCUCCGGGGGCUGCCCCGACCCCGCGCACAACCUUGGCCCAAGUUCCGGGGGGCGCCCCCUCGCCCGGCUCGCUAGACGCCGGCGGGUGCACAGGACCCGGGUGCACCGGCUCUUCGCGCCGGGAGACGUCCACAAGCCGGUCCCCCGUCUCUUCGUGGUCCCCCUAAGUCCUCCGAAGUCCCUGGUCUCGGUCCUCUCCCCCACCCCCCAGACUCAGCCGAAGGAAAAACAGCAGGUCCUCCUGCCGCUUCUUCUAACCCUCCGCCUGCCUCGCCUGCCCCCCUCCGUCUCGGGCUGGAGGGGCGUCAGCCCAGGUGCCUCUGGAAGCUACACCUUGCCCUUCUUCAAAACAAGUUUAUAUCUGUAUCCAGAAGUGGAGUGUUUCCUGCCGUGUCAACACACAAAGAUGUCACAGCCAUCGGCGAUUCCGGCCCUCCAAAUGUGAAUAUCUGAGCCCCGAGGGCGCCCAGGAAGAAGGAUGAAGCUCUCAAAGACCAGCUCUAAGGAGCUGGGGGUAUUGGUGGCGGGGCGCGGGCAUGUGAAAAAACGCAGGAUUCUGGCUCCGCUAGCUGAGAUGCAUAUGAAAGGAAUGAUUUCUGCAAGCCCAGGCUCUUGCAUCUUUUCGUACACAGAAAAGUGCUAAAUUCCUUAACUUGAGAUAUCUGUUUUUUCAUAAUUAAUAAUAAUCUUUUGAUGUUCAGACUACUUGCCCCUUGUUGCAAACUUCUAUAUAAUUUCACUCCUCCGCACCACCCCCCCACCACCACUUUAUCAGUAGCAGUUCUCUCAGGGUUACUUGGGAUGCUGUCUCCCAGGCUUGCCGUCUUAAAAUUCCCACCAAAUAAAACAUAACUCUUGACUUUUAUGUUG
RNAcentral lists this long non-coding RNA (890 nucleotides) under Bos indicus x Bos taurus (hybrid cattle). Its description in RNAcentral is "lncRNA (ENSBIXG00000003462.1)". The record is from RNAcentral. Lineage: Eukaryota; Metazoa; Chordata; Mammalia; Artiodactyla; Bovidae.